Molecule: unclassified non-coding RNA, 1036 nt
Filed under: Penaeus chinensis
Lineage: Eukaryota; Metazoa; Arthropoda; Malacostraca; Decapoda; Penaeidae
Description: uncharacterized LOC125036206, transcript variant X2
Source: RNAcentral
UGUUUAUCGACUUCAUCGUAAUGAUAUGCUGUCCUACGAGGCACAAGACGAACUGGAGAUAGUGAGUCCAGAUGGUGUUCUUGCAGAACACUCUCCUGAUGAUCCGUUAAGUGUUAUGAUGUUAUCUCUUGUGAGAAGAUUUACAGGCUAUCUGCAUGGUCUGUUCCUGCCGCUGUCCUGAUCAAUGAAACCAAGUGGAUCUGAUGCUGUUUGCUGCUGUCAUCCCAGUGGAUUGAAUGUCAUGACUUCUUGCAGCCCUGUUCCAGCCUCCGACCACCUUGUGGAGUCCCACGGCUUAGAAUCCUGCCUUAUCUCUACCCUGAUCUAUUCCUGCUUCCUCUUGUACACUGCAUAGAUGCAAGCUCGCAUGCUGAUAAUGGACCUCGGAACCUGAGUACCUGCAACCCUAUGACCCACUGAAUGUGACGCCCAAAGGAUUUCACACCAGAUUCCAGCCUCAUUUUUGGUGAAAGGGUGUCGGCUUUCGCUUUGAGCCGAUAGUCAGUCGAGGGUUCCCAAGUCACCCUCUCCUUUUCCGGGAUCGGGAGGGAUGUAGUGAGGCAGCCAUACGUCUUUUUCCACGGGACUUUCAACCCUAUUUUCGCCUUAACCUGCGUCGCAUCUUAAAGGAGCUACAAACCAGCAAACAACCCAUCGUCUUGGAAGACCAUCGGCCAGGACUUCUACCUUCCCGCGCUAAAUUUACGUCAGAGUAAUUGUUGAGCUUCUCAGGUAGUUGGCUGAGAGCUCGUGACCUGUACACACCAUUCAUAAGUAUCUGGCUGUUGUUGUUCCUUAUUUUUAUUACUGAUGCUCGUUUUUUUUUUCGUUUAUAUCAUUUUGUUUAAUUUAAUAAAUGUGUUUUUUUCUGUCCAUUGAGUAUUUAUUCAAUUCUUACACGCUACCUAAAUUAUAAGAAUUGCUCGGCUUGAGGGCUGUGUAAAAGCCAACGCUUACAAGGGCCAGGCGGCUGUUGGUUGGGCCGGUUCUUACCGCCCAACACCGUGCAGCCCGACUGGGCUUCAGCAGGGACCAC